UUUUGCAAAAGUUGAGUGGUA
RNAcentral lists this microRNA (21 nucleotides) under Zea mays. RNAcentral describes it as "miRt6". Lineage: Eukaryota; Viridiplantae; Streptophyta; Magnoliopsida; Poales; Poaceae. The record is from RNAcentral.